AUUGAACGCUGGCGGCAUGCUUUACACAUGCAAGUCGAACGGCAGCACGGGUGCUUGCACCUGGUGGCGAGUGGCGAACGGGUGAGUAAUAUAUCGGAACGUGCCCUAGAGUGGGGGACAACCAGUCGAAAGAUUGGCUAAUACCGCAUACGAUCUAAGGAUGAAAGUGGGGGACCUUCGGGCCUCAUGCUCCUGGAGCGGCCGAUAUCUGAUUAGCUAGUUGGUGGGGUAAAGGCCUACCAAGGCGACGAUCAGUAGCUGGUCUGAGAGGACGAUCAGCCACACUGGGACUGAGACACGGCCCAGACUCCUACGGGAGGCAGCAGUGGGGAAUUUUGGACAAUGGGGGCAACCCUAAUCCAGCAAUGCCGCGUGAGUGAAGAAGGCCUUCGGGUUGUAAAGCUCUUUUGUCAGGGAAGAAAUUGCCUGGGUUAAUACCCUGGGUAGAUGACGGUACCUGAAGAAUAAGCACCGGCUAACUACGUGCCAGCAGCCGCAGUAA
This 502-nucleotide ribosomal RNA is filed under the name uncultured bacterium. RNAcentral describes it as "partial 16S ribosomal RNA". It matches the Rfam family "Bacterial small subunit ribosomal RNA", at positions 30 to 523 of the family's 1533-position model. The record is from RNAcentral.